Molecule: long non-coding RNA, 342 nt
Filed under: Mytilus galloprovincialis (Mediterranean mussel)
Lineage: Eukaryota; Metazoa; Mollusca; Bivalvia; Mytilida; Mytilidae
Source: RNAcentral
UGGAAAUAUAUGUUCUAGUCAUCAAGAUAGUUAUUCUUAUAACUUCAUCAUAUAAUGUUAUCUACAUAUUAUUGUAACUUUUUACAGUAUUUAAAUUAUUCGUAAGAAACGUUCAGGGUUUUUGAAUAAAAAGUCCCAUGAAUGAGCUUCUUACACCGCCGUGGAGAUAAUUAAAAUAAUUAAUUCCAUAAAUAUUUCUUGUUUGAGUCCAAACAUGAUUACCCUUGUUUACAGUGCAAAGUAUAUUUCUGGUUGAAGCAAAAAUUCCUGCUCCUGAUCCUAUAUGCAUUAACUGCUUUCCUUUAACAACGUUGUCGACUCUUAGGUCCGUUUGUACAUUUU